AUGUGGGCUGUUGGAGAAGGCUGUAUAUUACCUUCUAUACCUUCUGUGUAUUACCUUCUCCUAAGGCUGAUAAUAGAGGGUUUUUUUGGUGGCAACAUUUUCCCUGUGUUGUGUGACAGCAACCCAGCACUGGCAUACUUUGGCAGUGUAGCAGCUGAGAUGCAAGCAUGGAACUCCACAAAGGCACCAGGUUUGGUGGUCUCCAGGGCUUCCAGGAAGGAAGGCAAACCCCAUCACCAUACAGCUGGACAGGGGAAAGGAAGAAGAGAAGUCUUCAGUAAGUCCACUUCCACGGCUGGGCCUGUGAAGAGAAGAUUGGAGGGAUUGAGCAGUCUCCCUGUAGAAGCAGGAUAA
RNAcentral lists this long non-coding RNA (354 nucleotides) under Anser brachyrhynchus (Pink-footed goose). Its description in RNAcentral is "lncRNA (ENSABRG00000014615.1)". The record is from RNAcentral. Lineage: Eukaryota; Metazoa; Chordata; Aves; Anseriformes; Anatidae.